ACUGAACGGAGAGCUUCUGAACAUGGCUCAUCCUUGCAAAGACUACGAGAAGCGAGGAUCUCCAGGAACCUGCAAAAGAGUUCAAAAUCCAUGGAAAAGAGCUGCCAGUGCCUUAGACCUGCCCUCCUCACCACUUCACUCCUCUGUUACACGGACAGGACUGACAACUGCCAUUCUCACCCAGUGUCAGCCACUUCGCCCGGCCCUCUGUGGCCUUCCCUGAGUAUAGAGGAAAUGCUGACUGGAGCCAGGUGAUAAUGGAAGUAUACCCCACCUGGCUUCUUUCUUUCAGUGAGAGAACUUCCUGUCAUUGGGAUGACACGAGAACAUUUUACGCUUUGCUUUUUGUGAAAUUAGCAUACCCACUUAAUUCAGAUUGAUGAUCAUUUCAGAGAUGUGUAUUGCUAGGGUUCCAGACACAUGAGUGCAAUAACAAUAAUAAAUGGCAAACGUA
This 454-nucleotide long non-coding RNA is filed under the name Homo sapiens (human). Its description in RNAcentral is "HSALNT0298562". The record is from RNAcentral. Lineage: Eukaryota; Metazoa; Chordata; Mammalia; Primates; Hominidae.